Molecule: transfer RNA, 106 nt
Filed under: Candidatus Thorarchaeota archaeon
Lineage: Archaea; Promethearchaeati; Candidatus Thorarchaeota
Description: tRNA-Phe
Source: RNAcentral
GCCGAGGUAGAUCAGCCCGGGAGAUCGCGUGACUGAAGAUCACGUCGCCGUGUGUUCAAACUGGGUAGGAAUCGCCUCCCAGGAACAAAUCACACCCUCGGCACCA